GGCCACUUUAUCUGGCAGGGUUGGUCUUGGACACUCUGCCCGUAUCCUCUUACGGAUAUGUUUUUCCAAAGCUUUUCUGAUCCAAAAAUGCAUGAAGCGGAGAUGAUCCGGAGGGGCCCACUCACCCGAUCGAGGGUGGCGAAUCUUCCUGGGAUCAAACAUUCUCUGGUCAGUGGAGUCCAGGAAUAUCUCCUGCGUGGCGGGGGAGGGUUCCGCAUCUCCUUUCUGCUGGGGCUCACCCAGAAAUGUCUCAGUGACGUAGGCGUUGGAGCCCCAACCGCCUUCGUCAGAGUCGGAGGUUUCAGCCUGCCACUCAUCCAGAACGGAGAGAGAGGGGGGCACGUCUUGCUC
Non-coding RNA from Pelobates cultripes (western spadefoot toad), 351 nucleotides. NCBI's taxonomy places the organism in Eukaryota, Metazoa, Chordata, Amphibia, Anura, Pelobatidae. The record is from the annotation of a GenBank genome assembly.